UAGUUCCUCGCAAGUAGGCGUACGAUCGCCGAGCAUGCGUCGCAGAUGGGUCUUAACGCUUUUGACCCCUGCCUCCCAGAUUCCUCCAAAAUGAGGAGCUGCCGGCGGAAUAAAGUGCCACGUGAUAUAAUCGGCAGCUAAACGCGAACGAAGGCAAUCCGCGGCGAGACGUGAAGCGUUCAAAUGCUGCUAGAAACGCUGAAGUGGAGUAGUCGCGCACCAAUUCGAGGUGGAUAGCGCGAGUCGCCAAACAAACAAAAAGAGCGAUGUAAACCUUUUGCGCCCUUUGCCCACGUCCACGAUACGCGAGAGCAGAGAACGGUCCUGCGUAAUCCAGGCCGCAAUGGACGAACGCUCGAGAUGGAGUGACUCUCACCGCAGCUUCCUUCGGGACCGUAGGCUUACUUUCUGGCCACUCAUUAGGAGC
This is a long non-coding RNA of Osmia bicornis bicornis, 427 nucleotides long. RefSeq lists it as uncharacterized. The transcript has 3 exons. The record is from RefSeq and is a predicted model, not a curated record. Lineage: Eukaryota; Metazoa; Arthropoda; Insecta; Hymenoptera; Megachilidae.